GAACUUGCUCCUGUUGAAAGGAAUCCUAGCUGAUAAUUAGGUUGAGUAAGGGUUAGACUCCCUUCAAGUUUU
This 72-nucleotide transfer RNA is filed under the name Echinaster brasiliensis. Its description in RNAcentral is "tRNA-Ile". Lineage: Eukaryota; Metazoa; Echinodermata; Asteroidea; Spinulosida; Echinasteridae. The record is from RNAcentral.